This 76-nucleotide transfer RNA is filed under the name Parcubacteria group bacterium CG1_02_41_12. RNAcentral's name for it is "tRNA-Tyr". It matches the Rfam family "tRNA". Rfam says of the family: Transfer RNA (tRNA) molecules are approximately 80 nucleotides in length. Their secondary structure includes four short double-helical elements and three loops (D, anti-codon, and T loops). Further hydrogen bonds mediate the characteristic L-shaped molecular structure. tRNAs have two regions of fundamental functional importance: the anti-codon, which is responsible for specific mRNA codon recognition, and the 3' end, to which the tRNAs corresponding amino acid is attached (by aminoacyl-tRNA synthetases). tRNAs cope with the degeneracy of the genetic code in two manners: having more than one tRNA (with a specific anti-codon) for a particular amino acid; and 'wobble' base-pairing, i.e. permitting non-standard base-pairing at the 3rd anti-codon position. The record is from RNAcentral.
CCAAGGGUGGCAGAGCGGUUUAUGCGUUGGUCUGUAAAACCAAUUUAUGUAGGUUCGACUCCUACCCCUUGGACCA